UACAGAGGUCUCAAGCGUUGUUCGGAUUCAUUGGGCGUAAAGGGUGCGUAGGUGGCGUGGAAAGUUGAGUGUGAAAUCCUAGGGCUUAACCUUAGAACUGCACUCAAUACUCCCAUGCUAGAGGAAUGUAGAGGAGAGUGGAAUUCACGGUGUAGCAGUGAAAUGCGUGGAUAUCGUGAGGAAGACCAGUUGCGAAGGCGACUCUCUGGGCAUUUCCUGACACUGAGGCACGAAGGCCAGGGGAGCAAACGGG
Molecule: unclassified non-coding RNA, 253 nt
Filed under: uncultured Verrucomicrobiota bacterium
Lineage: Bacteria; Pseudomonadati; Verrucomicrobiota
Description: uncultured Verrucomicrobia bacterium contains 16S-23S intergenic spacer region
Rfam family: Bacterial small subunit ribosomal RNA
Source: RNAcentral